This 330-nucleotide ribosomal RNA is filed under the name uncultured eukaryote. RNAcentral's name for it is "SSU rRNA". It matches the Rfam family "Eukaryotic small subunit ribosomal RNA", at positions 594 to 929 of the family's 1831-position model. The record is from RNAcentral.
AUAGCGUAUAUUAAAGUUGUUGCAGUUAAAAAGCUCGUAGUUGAACUUCGAACGUGGCUGGGCGGUCCGCCUCACGGUGUGUACUGUCUGGCUGUGUUCUCUUUCUUGGUGAGCCGGCAUGCCCUUAAUUGGGUGUGUUGGGGAACCAGGACUUUUACCUUGAGAAAAUUAGAGUGUUCAAAGCAGGCCUAUGCCCGAAUACAUUAGCAUGGAAUAAUAAAAUAGGACGUGCGGUUCUAUUUUGUUGGUUUCUAGAGUCGCCGUAAUGAUUAAUAGGGAUAGUUGGGGGCAUUAGUAUUCGGUUGCUAGAGGUGAAAUUCUUGGAUUUAC